AACGAACGCUGGCGGCAGGCCUAACAUAUGCAAGUCGAACGCCCUGGCAACAGUGCGUGGCAGACGGGGGAGCAACGCGGGGGAAGGUGCCGUUCGGUUCGGAAGAACGCAGGGAAACUUGAGCUAAUACCGUGUACGUGCGAGAGCUGAAAGAUUUAUCGCCGAAGGAUCGGCGCGCGUCCGAUUAGCUAGUUGGUGAGGUAACGGCUCACCAAGGCGACGAUCGGUAGCUGGUCUGAGAGGAUGAUCAGCCACACUGGGACGGAGACACGGCCCAGAGUCCGACGGGAGGCAGGAGUGGGGAAUAUUGGACAAUGGGCGCAAGCCUGAUCCAGCCAUGCCGCGUGAGUGAUGAAGGCCCUAGGGUUGUAAAGCUCUUUCGCCAGGGACGAUAAUGACGGUACCUGGAUAAGAAGCCCCGGCUAACUUCGUGCCAGCCGCCGCGGUAA
RNAcentral lists this ribosomal RNA (449 nucleotides) under uncultured bacterium. RNAcentral's name for it is "partial 16S ribosomal RNA". It matches the Rfam family "Bacterial small subunit ribosomal RNA", at positions 29 to 523 of the family's 1533-position model. The record is from RNAcentral.